GCCUAGAUGAAUUUGGUGCUUGCACCAGAUGAAACUAGAUACAAGCGAGCGGCGGACGGGUGAGUAACACGUGGGUAACCUGCCCAAGAGACUGGGAUAACACCUGGAAACAGAUGCUAAUACCGGAUAACAACACUAGACGCAUGUCUAGAGUUUAAAAGAUGGUUCUGCUAUCACUCUUGGAUGGACCUGCGGUGCAUUAGCUAGUUGGUAAGGUAACGGCUUACCAAGGCAAUGAUGCAUAGCCGAGUUGAGAGACUGAUCGGCCACAUUGGGACUGAGACACGGCCCAAACUCCUACGGGAGGCAGCAGUAGGGAAUCUUCCACAAUGGACGCAAGUCUGAUGGAGCAACGCCGCGUGAGUGAAGAAGGGUUUCGGCUCGUAAAGCUCUGUUGGUAGUGAAGAAAGAUAGAGGUAGUAACUGGCCUUUAUUUGACGGUAAUUACUUAGAAAGUCACGGCUAACUACGUGCCAGCAGCCGCGGUAAUACGUAGGUGGCAAGCGUUGUCCGGAUUUAUUGGGCGUAAAGCGAGUGCAGGCGGUUCAAUAAGUCUGAUGUGAAAGCCUUCGGCUCAACCGGAGAAUUGCAUCAGAAACUGUUGAACUUGAGUGCAGAAGAGGAGAGUGGAACUCCAUGUGUAGCGGUGGAAUGCGUAGAUAUAUGGA
This 668-nucleotide ribosomal RNA is filed under the name uncultured Bacilli bacterium. RNAcentral's name for it is "bacterial SSU rRNA". It matches the Rfam family "Bacterial small subunit ribosomal RNA", at positions 61 to 702 of the family's 1533-position model. The record is from RNAcentral. Lineage: Bacteria; Bacillati; Bacillota; Bacilli.